This 253-nucleotide ribosomal RNA is filed under the name uncultured bacterium. RNAcentral's name for it is "partial 16S ribosomal RNA". It matches the Rfam family "Bacterial small subunit ribosomal RNA", at positions 524 to 776 of the family's 1533-position model. The record is from RNAcentral.
UACGGGGGGGGCAAGCGUUGUUCGGAAUUACUGGGCGUAAAGGGCGCGUAGGCGGUUUCGGAAGUCAUGGGUGAAAGUCCUCGGCUCAACCGAGGGAUUGCCUGUGAAACCACGGAACUGGAGUGCUGGAGAGGGAAGCGGAAUUCCCAGUGUAGCGGUGAAAUGCGUAGAUAUUGGGAGGAACACCUGUGGCGAAGGCGGCUUCCUGGACAGACACUGACGCUGAGGCGCGAAAGCCAGGGGAGCGAACGGG